Long non-coding RNA from Coregonus clupeaformis (lake whitefish), 1426 nucleotides. RefSeq lists it as uncharacterized. The record is from RefSeq and is a predicted model, not a curated record. The transcript is spliced from 2 exons. Lineage: Eukaryota; Metazoa; Chordata; Actinopteri; Salmoniformes; Salmonidae.
UGUAGAUGACAUUGCGUGAUUCACAGCCAGUUGUGCUUGUUAAAAGCUACUGUUCCUGUGUGGCUGGGUGUGGGAUAUGCCAUCAUUUGGUUGCAUUACUAUAUCAGACUGCCCAUUACUCUGAAUGUGGCAUGUCUGUCGUCCAUCCUGUACUUUCGUGCACUGAAACAGAGCAGGUGGCAUAAACCACGAACAAUGAUUUGUAUCAUUUCAAUACCAGACAGUUGUGUCACAUGCAUACUAGCAUCUCUCCUAAUACCAUCUCAUAAAUAAAUAGGGAGUGAAGCCAGGACCUGUGGAUGCCAUGGUUGUAGUGAAGCCCAAACCAGAUGCUACUCCGGCAAGCGGAAUUAGAUCUACACUUUACAAGGGCUACAGCGGUGAGCUACCAGACCCAUCAACCCUCAACCCACUACCUGCCUAUGCUGACAUGGAACCAGACUCUCUUCCCCUUAUCUGCAGAAUAAACAUCACAUCUGACAAACCACUCGUGGACUCCAUUUUUGGCAAGGUACAAACUGGCAGUAUCCUGUCAUAUCAACACCCACCACCUCCACCUGACAGUGUUGUCAUCCAUGAGGAUGCACCACCGUUUCCAAAAGUGCCACUGGACGGUUACCAUUUACAACCAACAGACUGUUCAUACGAGAUCAUGACGGAUCAAGAAAAGCUUCACCUCAGUUCUCUGUCUGUGACUUUGUCACAGUCACACCUGAUUGAGGAAGCAACCAGAUGCCAAAGUGAAACACCCGAGUGGCAUUCACUGAGGAAGGAGAGAGUGACUGCUUCACAUUUCCGGGAGGUAAGCCAUGUUAGAGGUACAAGCACAGCAGAAAACUGGCAGAAAUAAUUAUCAGAGGGACAAGACAAACACCACUAAUGAAAAGGGGGCUGGAAAUGGAAGCAGGUGCAUUGAAGGACUAUGCAGUUCUAAAAAAUCUUAAUCUGACAAAGUGUGGGCUAGUCGUGCAUCCGGACGCACCUUGGCUGGGUGCAUCGCCUGAUGGGCUCGUAUAUGACCCACUUGAGCGACCAUCAUUUGGUCUAGUUGAAAUUAAAUGCCCAAAUGUAGCCAGCUACAUAGACUGCAAGUUCCUGAGAUUUGACCAUGGCCUACACAAAUUGAAGGAAAGCCAUUGUUAUUAUUGGCAAGUCCAAGGACAGUUACUCAUCACAGGCAUGGAAUGGUGUGAUUUUGUUGUCUGUGCCCAUGAUGACAUUUUCGUGCAGCGCAUUUGCCGAGACAGCACUGUAUUAAGCUCCCUGAAAGAGAGAUGUGAUUUGUUUUUCUUUAACACAUACAUGUCAAAAUACCUCUCUAUGAAAAGUAACUGAACAGACACAUGAAUUAUUGUACAAUCAUUUUACAAUUUAUUUUGUCAACUGUCUUAUUUACAACAUUGUAAUAUUAAAGGGGCGCUAUGCA